UUAAAAUAGAACAUAACAUGUCACAUAUGAUAGUGGCAGAAGGGGAGCUGAAAUGCAAAAAUGUUAUGAACGUCACAGACGAAGCUGUGUGAAAACCUAUAAAUAUUGAUAUGUCACCUAGUUACUGUGUGAGAAGCUCUGGGAAAGACUUGUGCAGCACAUGCUUUGCAGGACAGUUUCUCUGGUGUAACAAUUGUGGGGCAGCCGGCAUGAUUUGCUGCCCCUGAGACCCGGCAGGAAAGAGCACAACCAAAUUUCUGACCAUCUAGGACACAGGCUCUUGCUGACUGUCCAGCCACCAAGCAGCUGAGGUGUCCAUUGUCUCUCACAGAACAGCUGCUCAGUGGAAGUAACCGACCCCAACGAGUAAAACAGCCUGUGCUGCCUCUUAUCUGCUUAAGCACGUGGAGUCAUCUCAGAUUGGUGAUCUGUUGCUCAGAACUGUGACAGAGAAUAGAAAUUCCUCUGUUCUUGGUAGGUCAGAGAGGAGAUGGAAAACUUCCAUUAGAAGUCUCUGCUCUGGAAGACUUUCAGCCUACUUUCUCCCUCCCUGAGGUUUAAAACUGACGGCUGUGAUCACCAUGCAGAAGAUAAUGGAUGUUACCAACAGUAUCCAGUGUGCUUUGGAGGAGGUGCAGACAAAGCUGACAGGGUGUGCUACCCAUCUGUUCAUUGUCAGUUUAUCACCAAGUCUGUCUGUGUUUACCAAACAGCAUUCAAGGAGGGUGGGAUAAAUGGAGCCCUCCAAUUUUGCACUGAAGCAGAUGAGAGUAUUGACAUGAGCUGUUUGUUCAGCUGGAGGGUCCCAAGCUGCACUAGAGAGGCCAUGAUAAGCCCCUGGCAACGGUAACAGCCUUGGCUGCCUGCACCCUUCUUCAUGGUAAUGAUAGUGCUUGUGGAUGUACCCCUCAACUGGCCAUCAGAAAACUCUUUACUCUUUAUGUCUGUGUCCAGAGUUCCAGAAAGGUGAAUACUGGGUUUUCCUGAAGUAUGUCAGAGUGGAGUUCCACCCAUGGAGAGCACAGUACUAAGAGGAGAACAGUGCUUCUCCUGCUCUGCACUCCCUGCUUUGCUCUGGCACCUUGUGGUAAUUCACUGGACCCUGCUGUGAGCUGAUUCAGCUUGCUAACUGAGCAGAAAGCACGCCAGCAAAAGAAUGAAGAGAUUGUUGCUGAGUUAGCAAGUUGAACCAGUUCACAGAAAAGUGGGAUGAGUGCCAAACCUGGCCUAGGACACGCUAGAACUACGGGGCUGAAGUCCUUCCCUUCAGCUGCAGCACCAAAGCUCCAGGUACAUGUACACCCUUGCUCUCUGGCAACCCCCCCAUUUGACCUUACAUUUGAUCAUACAUGACUGCUGUGCCAAGCAGCAUCUAGAAUCAAAGAAAGAGAUUUUCAGGAUACUAAAUUAAAUGAAGGGAAAUCUGUUGGUUUCUGUAGACAUUCUGUCUAGAGAAAGACUAAGAGAGAAAUAUUACCAUGUUGCCAGGUGUAUCAAUCACAUGGGUGUUUUUAUGUAUGAAAUGUUGAUGUUUUGUGGCUCUGCAAAGAUAGUAAUUUAUUAAAAUCUCUUCCAUUUAAAGAGAACACUGAGACAAAACUAUAAAUAGAAAAUAAUAUUUUUACCAUCUGGCAUAUUUUCAUCUUUGUUCUACAGCAUCCCACAUUAAAUCAUGCUGUAGCACUUACUGCAGGACUGAAGCAGUUGUAUAUAGGGUGAUCUGAAUGCAGGGAACCAAAAUCUCCUUCCCAUUAUGCUGACUAUAUUUCUACUGCUUUCAAUGGAGAUGUAUUAUAAAAAAAAUUGCCCAAAGUUUCAUAGUUCCUGUUGAUGGGAUUCAUCUGCAGGAU
Long non-coding RNA from Cyanistes caeruleus (blue tit), 1850 nucleotides. Lineage: Eukaryota; Metazoa; Chordata; Aves; Passeriformes; Paridae. The record is from Ensembl.